Molecule: long non-coding RNA, 4980 nt
Organism: Ctenopharyngodon idella (grass carp)
Lineage: Eukaryota; Metazoa; Chordata; Actinopteri; Cypriniformes; Xenocyprididae
Exons: 2
Source: RefSeq, a predicted model, not a curated record
GAGAUAGAGUCACAUUACUUCUCCUUUUAAGAACGAAUGCAUGCACAUAAAGAGUUAUUCCGCCAAGUGUCUUAUUGCUAAGGAACUUUGCUAUGACUUCUGUGAUCACAACAAACAUCUGAUCUCAUGAAUUUUCAAAUGGAGCCUCUUCACUGAUGUUUCCUUCCUCAUACAUCAUUCAGUGACACAAGUGUCUGCGGCUGUCACGCUGGUAAUGCCAUAAACCACAGGACAAAUGAUAUCAUAAGAGGGAUACCUACAGCAACUUUCCAUGGACAGCAGAAUGACAACUGAAAUUACACAUAUCUGCUUUGUAUUCAAGACAUAAAUCAUAAAGAGUAGACCUAUGUCUAUUAUAUUUUUAAUUAUAUGUGACUCGUGCUGGCAAAAUGAGUCAGAGUGCAAUGUGCACGGGCUAAUUUCGAGCUACAGACAAAACAAGUGAAAAAUGUCAAUUUUGGUCGAAAUUUAGGUUUUCACAAAAAAUAAGUUCAUUAAGCCCUUGUCUAGCAAUCCCAAUGCUCCAAAUAGCAAUUAAACAUCUAAAAGUAUCUUUAUUUGUACGUUUUCUGAUAGAAAUACCUUUCCUUUGACCAUGAAAAAUGCAGUUUUUCUCUGCUCGCUUCUUGACGACUGGCGCUUCCUCUAAGCACAAGUUUGGUAUCAUUUUAAAGCACAGCAUUCCAACUUAAUAUUCAUAGCGAAUUCGCGAUUGUAUGAGUCUGAAGCAAUAAAAUGUGAUUUUCAAACUCAUGCUGAUGUAAACAAAACGAUCUUACUCGCACUGUUUGACAGAUCAGCGCGAUCCCGAUAUACACAUAUACACAGAAUUACAGUAUUUCAAAAAAUCUGUCUUGGCGAGUAUUCACGCAAACAUUAUCUGUUAUGUCUUAAGUGAACGUUUGGUUAACUGUUGGGAAAAAACAUCUGAUGUGUAACAUUAUAUUAGAUCAUAAUACAAUAUAUGUGUGGUACAGUAGGUCUUAAUAUAUAGGCUGUCUGUUUCAUUAAUGUUAAUCAAACAAUUGUGGAAUCAUGGAAAAAAGUUGAAUAUAUAUAUUUUUUUCCUAUAGAUAUGGGUUUUGACUUGGUUUGUGCCAAAUUUGGUGUUAUGACCAGGAGUUUUAAGACAUGGUUGCUAGGUGAUUUUAUUUUGGAACCUUCAGAAAACUCGAUUUUCAUAUCGAGAUCAUAAAUUCAGUUUAAAACUGAAUUAUAUAAUUAAAUAAUACAACUUUUGUGGCUUAAACUGUAAACAUUUUAACAGUAAUUUUAGCAGAUAUUAAUCUUCAGCAGGGGUCAAAUAGGGUGAAAUUGGAGUUUUGUGGCUUUUAGGUUGACAAAUCUUUUUAAAAAUAAAUAUUUUCUUUACAUAACCAUUCAAAAGAUUUGGGGUUGGUAUGUUUUAUUGCUGUUUUCUUGCUGUUCACAAAGGCAACAUUUAUUUACUCAAAGCUACAGCAAAAACAGUAAUGUUGUUAAAUAUUAUUACAACAGACCCUUUUCACAGACUGUGAUGACGCAUUUUAACGGUCAUCUAUAUUGUAAAUCCUGCAAAGUUUUUUUAUAUUUUCAUUUUUUUUUUUUAAAAUAUGUACAUUUAUAACACUAUAUUUAGUAUGAUAUUACCUUUGCAUCAAAUUACAAAAAAAAUAGUUAACACUGCUGCAGCGGCUAUGGGAGUGACGGAAAAAUUACAUCUUUCUCUCUUCUGACUGCCGUUAUCAAUCACUCUCUAUUUUUUCCAUCUUUUUGAUAGUUGUGAAAACACUAUUGUGGAGUUUUUCUUUUGCUAUUUGUGCAAAUGGAAAGACAAAAAAUAUAUUCAAUAUAGUCUCUAAUUCACCACUAUAAAAGUUUACCCAACUAUGGUGACUUCCACUUCUGAGAAACACAGAAAUGUGAAAAGGGUCUAUUUAAAAUAGCCGUUUUCUAUUUAAAUAUAUUUUAAAAUGUCAUUUCCUCCUGUUAUGGCAGAGCUGAUUUUUCAGCAGCAUAUUUUAGCAGCGAAGAAUAUUUUAGCCUUUUUCGCUCACACAUACAUGUGCACACAGGAAACGCAACAGGAAUUCUUUUAAUUUAAAUGCAUAUUAAACACGCACAGAGGAACUGACCCGUGAAUGUGAAUCAGCCAUGUUUGUCAGACUUUUCAAUCAGAACAGCACCGACUUAAUAAAUCAUCAGACUAGAAAAACAAAUCCUGCAUAACUAGAGGGAUGAACCUGCCGUCUGCCGCAGAUGGUGAACAGACUCACACAUCUUUAUAUUCAUUAUAAAUGAGACCAUGGUUAUGAUCAACAGUAACGCCCAAAGAGCAUCUCAUCCCUCCUGAACAGAGCGUGGCAGUUUCGUGUUCAAUAGUAUAACAGGAUCAAGAAGCCAUGAGCGGCUGAAAUCGCAGGGCUUAGCAGUAAGGGGAGGAAACCUUAUUACCACAAAACCUAGUGGAUACACAGAUAAGAUGCUGCUGGGACUCUCUGCCAACUCAGUUCCUUAUUAGACAUGGCGGUCAGUGCUGAAAUGGCAUCUGACCCUGACCAAAGCCCAGAUGCCAGUGUGUGGCCAUCCUCCAGUGCACAGCAGGUCAAAGUCAUCAGGUCUGGGAAACGGCGCUAAUGUGGAGCUGAAGAGGAAGAUUGCACCUUGACCUUGAAAUCUGAUGCAUCCGAAAAAAGUACUCUUCAGGGCCAGCGGGGGUUUAUGAAGAGUGAGGUACGCUGGGAUUCAGAUCACAGGCCCCAUGGCUUCCACAUCAAAGUGAAGCCUUUGGUCUACACACACGUAAGCUAGUGGUUCUGCGUUCCCUAAUUCUCUGUCUGAUUCUGUCUGUGUGAUGUGGCACCCUGAGGACUCGACCGCUGAAUAGGACCACAGGGGCCCCUGCAGUCACUGCUGGUCCAACCCAACUGUGUCGAGUGGUGAUACUCACCUACUCCUAAUGACUGCAUAUUACUGUCUAAAAACAGCUCUAUCGUAACUAAUUAGACAGACCACAUGUCUCUUUUUAGCUCAGGUUGGGUGGAAAAUUGGGUGGCUGUGUUCUGUUUAAGUGGUACAGUACUGUACUUAAUUUGAUAUCGUACAUUAUCACUAAAGAAAUGUCUUAGAAAGUCUCUGCAAACUACAGAUAAUGGUAUGAACAAGAUCUUAUAUUACAGAAUGAGCAAUUUUAUAAUCAUGGUAAUAUAAUUAUUUUGCUGGAAUGCAACAAAAGUGGUCUAUAUUUUAAAAUACUUUAAAAUAUGAAAGUACUUCAUCUCAUUUAAUUAUUGUCGCUUUUUAUUUUGAACUUAAUCAAGCUAAAAGGUAUGACAGCUCCACCUCUAAAUUCUCAUUGGAUGAGCCACAUUCAAAGCUGUAUUUUUAUAUCCCUCUCUGUAUUUUUACUGCAGUGGUUCUCAAACUUUUUUAGUCACGCCCCAAUAAACAAAAAACGUAAAUAUUUCAGUGAUGUUUUGGAUGAACAAUAUAUAAUCAGUGGCUGCAGUGCGCUCUUUUGACAACGCCUCAUGAGCUCAGCUUCUUGUAGCCUACUUCUUCUCGCUACAACACGGCAACGGAGCGGCAUGUUCACCAUAGCAGCUUGUGAUGCUGUCCACUGAAGAGGUGCUUUUCUAUGGCGAGCAACUUCUAUGUUGGGCUUUUUCAGAUGGUGACAACGGUCUGAAGAAGAACGAUUCAGUGGAAUUGGUGUUCGGUGCUGUUUAUAGAGCACCAACCGCUAUUCGCACACUUGAACGCUAUUGCGACGGCUGUUUUCUUUUAUUUCUGCUGAUCUCCCGCGCCCCCCAGCAGUACCUAUGUGCCCCCCCAGGAGGUGUGCUUUGAUAACCACUGUUUUGCUGUAUGUGUUUGUGUCACUUUUAUAUGUAAAAAUGACAUGAGGCUGAAGCGGUCCACUUACAGUCCUGCAAAUAUAUCUAUUGUAAUAUGAACGGUAAGGCAAAAUUACCCAGCUCUACUACAGAUUUAAUCAAACAAUGAAUUUGAAAGAUUAAUGAUUGCUAAAUUACAAUGAUAAAUGAUCUGACGCAUUAUAUCAACGUAAUUCUAGGAGUGACGCUCAGUUCGGUCCAGUUGCUGUAUAUCAUUUCUUAUCUCUUCAGAUAAAAGUGUAAUGUAGCAUCUAGCAAACGUAAGUCAUCUGUGUUCCCUCAGAAGGGUUUGUUUCCCUUGCCUUAUUUAGCUGUGUGGUGUUUUCUGGCAUUCUCCUAUCAUAAACAGCCACUCUUGUGUGAACUGAGUGAUCUUCAUUUUCCCAGGCUGUUUUCAUAUCUAAAGCCUGCUAAUUCAUCCACUCUCAUGCUUCAUGAGAGAAAAAAAAGAAAGAAAAUUCUCUUAUGAGAGAAUAGAAGUCAGACAUGAUGUUACAUAGGGUUAAUUGUAAUUGUGCCACAUCAAGAAAAUUGGGCAACAGUACAGAUAGUAAACCAUACAGAUCUUUUUUAUUUUGGUGCAAUGUUGCAACUAAAGGCUGUUUCUGAGACUAUGACCAGAUCUGAUAUAAACGACUACAAUAUAAACAGCUCAACUGUAAAAUCAAGUUAUUGUAUGUUUGUAGUUGAGCAUGUUGUAAAAUGCUGGGACAAAACCAUAGAGAGAAUAAGAACAUGAGUAAUUAGCAGUCGGUUUUACAGAAGUAUUCAAUGAGAACAUGUUUUUACUCAUGGAAAAAAAUAGUAAAGACUGCACAUCACGUGCUGACACAUCAAUGAUCUGAAAUGUUUCGGAAAUUACUCAACAUAUGCAAAAACAUGACUGUUUUACAUGCAAGGGUAAAUCUGACAAACAAAGCAUUUAAUUAACAUAUUACAUGUUAGAGCUAUGAACUUAUGCAUCAAAAUUGAGUAGUAUUGCUACUGUGAGCCAUGAGAGUUUGAAUCUUGCUUGCAACCUUAGACCAAGGCACUUACACACCUGGCAUUGAAUACUAUGGAUAUUGUUUCCUCUAUUGUGAGUCAAUAAAUGCAUAAAUCUAAA